This 253-nucleotide ribosomal RNA is filed under the name uncultured bacterium. RNAcentral's name for it is "partial 16S ribosomal RNA". It matches the Rfam family "Bacterial small subunit ribosomal RNA", at positions 524 to 776 of the family's 1533-position model. The record is from RNAcentral.
UACGUAGGGGGCAAGCGUUGUCCGGAUUUACUGGGCGUAAAGGGCGUGCAGGCGGUUUGUUAAGUCUAGGGUGAAAGCUCCCGGCUCAACUGGGAGAGGUCCUUGGAUACUGGCAGACUUGAGGAGGGUAGAGGAGAGUGGAAUUCCCGGUGUAGUGGUGAUAUGCGUAGAUAUCGGGAGGAACACCAGUGGCGAAGGCGGCUCUCUGGGCCCUACCUGACGCUGAGACGCGAAAGCGUGGGGAGCAAACAGG